AAAAAGGGUCGACGAUCGGUAGCUGGUCUGAGAGGAUGACCAGCCACACUGGAACUGAGACACGGUCCAGACUCCUACGGGAGGCAGCAGUGGGGAAUAUUGGACAAUGGGGGCAACCCUGAUCCAGCAAUGCCGCGUGUGUGAAGAAGGCCUGAGGGUUGUAAAGCACUUUCAGUGGGGAGGAGGGUUGAUAGGUUAAGAGCUAAUUAACUGGACGUUACCCACAGAAGAAGCACCGGCUAACUCCGUGCCAGCAGCCGCGGUAAUACGGAGGGUGCGAGCGUUAAUCGGAAUUACUGGGCGUAAAGGGUGCGUAGGUGGUUGAUUAAGUUAUCUGUGAAAUUCCUGGGCUUAACCUGGGACGGUCAGAUAAUACUGGUUGACUCGAGUAUGGGAGAGGGUAGUGGAAUUUCCGGUGUAGCGGUGAAAUGCGUAGAGAUCGGAAGGAACACCAGUGGCGAAGGCGGCUACCUGGCCUAAUACUGACACUGAGGCACGAAAGCGUGGGGAGCAAACAGGAUUAGAUACCCUGGUAGUCCACGCUGUAAACGAUGUCAACUAGCUGUUGGUUAUAUGAAAAUAAUUAGUGGCGCAGCAAACGCGAUAAAGUUGA
This 613-nucleotide ribosomal RNA is filed under the name uncultured Legionella sp. RNAcentral describes it as "bacterial SSU rRNA". It matches the Rfam family "Bacterial small subunit ribosomal RNA", at positions 265 to 868 of the family's 1533-position model. The record is from RNAcentral. Lineage: Bacteria; Pseudomonadati; Pseudomonadota; Gammaproteobacteria; Legionellales; Legionellaceae.